RNAcentral lists this ribosomal RNA (253 nucleotides) under uncultured bacterium. RNAcentral describes it as "partial 16S ribosomal RNA". It matches the Rfam family "Bacterial small subunit ribosomal RNA", at positions 524 to 776 of the family's 1533-position model. The record is from RNAcentral.
UACGAAGGGGGCUAGCGUUGUUCGGAAUCACUGGGCGUAAAGGGCGCGUAGGCGGCUUUAUAAGUCGGGGGUGAAAGCCUGUGGCUCAACCACAGAAUUGCCUUCGAUACUGUAGAGCUUGAGACCGGAAGAGGUAAGUGGAACUGCGAGUGUAGAGGUGAAAUUCGUAGAUAUUCGCAAGAACACCAGUGGCGAAGGCGACUUACUGGGCCGGAACUGACGCUGAGGCGCGAAAGCGUGGGGAGCAAACAGG